This is a long non-coding RNA of Ictalurus punctatus (channel catfish), 1760 nucleotides long. The record is from Ensembl. NCBI's taxonomy places the organism in Eukaryota, Metazoa, Chordata, Actinopteri, Siluriformes, Ictaluridae.
AUUUAUUUGAGGUCUGCAUCCCAGACUCAGAAUGCUGGCUUUCCCAUUAUCAACCCAUUUGGGCUCAGGUUGACUGAGCCCCUACCUAACCCAACAAGCUGAGUUAUAAAAAAAAAUGAACCAGCAAUUUUGGUGUACAUCUGAUAUGCUCAUAUUGCAUGUGCACACAAGUUGAGACCUUUAUCACAGAGUCGCAUAGAAACAGUGACAUGGUAUUUGUCAUAAAGUCACUUCCUCUACUUUUCUCUACUUGCUUUUGUACAUACCCAUGUACUGUACUGUAUGUUCACAGUCUGAGAUUUCUGUCCUUAAAAGCUUUCAUAGAAUCUGUUUUUCUCUCUUUUUUCACUUCUGCCUCCUUCUCCCACCAGAGUAAGUGUAUCCAAUCCAUUUUCUGUCAGAGUGAUGGAUUUGACUUGCUCACUAGAAAUGCUACUUGAUAGCUUAGCUUGUUAGCUUACACACUGCUGUGUCUGAGAUAGACAGACUGUUGUUGUCUUGCUAGUGACUCAUUCCAGCUCAUGCAACUAAGUUACUAGUGCCAACAGGGCUGGAGUGGUCUGUCCCUACAUUGGCCUUACACCAAUGUAGGGACAAUGUUGUCAACCUGAGCUUCUCUGGUUCAUGGUUAGGAGUAGUGUACAUGUACCUCUUGAAUUUGGAAGUGCUUCCAACCAGAAGUGCUCCGGCAGCCAUUUUACAAUUCCCUACCAACAGAGGGCGGCGACCGCCAACGGACGAAAACUGUCAAGAUGACCUGAUGUGCUGCUCUUAACUGCAAAACAACGUUGCUAAAGUAUGUAGCAGAAGUGCCCACAGAUUGUAAUUUAUACAGAUCAUGUACCUAUUAAACACAAAUGCGUCAUUAUCCCCAUGUAUAGUGGGGAUAACGGUCAUAAUCUUUUGCAACAACCGGCUCAUUGGUAUUAUAAAGUCUGGUUGGAGUUCUCAUCACUUGGAAAUCACUUGCUGUUGCUGAGAGUAGCACCACAUGGACAGCCUAAACAUGAGUGAGAUUAGUGAGGAUGGAACUACUUAAAAACCAUGAAGAUGGCUUUCAAACUGAUAUUAACAGUAUUGCUACAAUGAUUUAUGACUACAAUUGCUAUGAUAGCUUUAGGACUGCAAUUGCCAUGAUCAGUUCUGCACUCAUGUCUCAUGGUUAUGAAUUUCCUGCUUACGCUAUUGCACUUUUUGACCAGUACAUAGUUAUAGAAGGAAAUUAUUUAUAAUCGCACUAUCCGUUGUCACUCAGAUGAAGAUGGAUUCCCUUUUGAGUCUGGUUCCUCUCAAGGUUUCUUCUGCAAAAUGUCUCAGGGAGCUUUUCCUUGCCACCAUCACCUCUGGCUUGCUCAUUAGGGAUAAAUUUAUAAAAUAAAUUUUACAUCCUGAAUUUAUACAUUUCUGUACAGGUGCUUUGUGACAAUGUCCAUUGUUAAAAGUGCUAUACAAAUACAAUUCAAGUGAACUGAAUUGAAUUGACUUGAACUGAAUGUGCACUUCUUGAAUAGUAAGGAGACCAUUUGAAGGGCAGACAUUCACAAAUAUAUUUGUAAAGUAUAGGUUUUUAAACCAUUUAAACACAGGUAAGGUGUCCUUUACAAAAACCUAUGUGCAUGCUUCAGAUAACUAACUUGGGGUUUGGGAUAGAGCCUUGAACAUUUAAAAGUUUUUCAAGGUGCUUGCAACAAAUAAUUCAGGCAAUAAUUUAAUAAUUACAGCAGAGAAAGAAAAGCUCUGUGUAUCCACCAGAUAAUCUA